RNAcentral lists this ribosomal RNA (1529 nucleotides) under Neisseria meningitidis M7089. RNAcentral describes it as "bacterial SSU rRNA". It matches the Rfam family "Bacterial small subunit ribosomal RNA". Lineage: Bacteria; Pseudomonadati; Pseudomonadota; Betaproteobacteria; Neisseriales; Neisseriaceae. The record is from RNAcentral.
AGAGUUUGAUCCUGGCUCAGAUUGAACGCUGGCGGCAUGCUUUACACAUGCAAGUCGGACGGCAGCACAGAGAAGCUUGCUUCUUGGGUGGCGAGUGGCGAACGGGUGAGUAACAUAUCGGAACGUACCGAGUAGUGGGGGAUAACUGAUCGAAAGAUCAGCUAAUACCGCAUACGUCUUGAGAGGGAAAGCAGGGGACCUUCGGGCCUUGCGCUAUUCGAGCGGCCGAUAUCUGAUUAGCUAGUUGGUGGGGUAAAGGCCUACCAAGGCGACGAUCAGUAGCGGGUCUGAGAGGAUGAUCCGCCACACUGGGACUGAGACACGGCCCAGACUCCUACGGGAGGCAGCAGUGGGGAAUUUUGGACAAUGGGCGCAAGCCUGAUCCAGCCAUGCCGCGUGUCUGAAGAAGGCCUUCGGGUUGUAAAGGACUUUUGUCAGGGAAGAAAAGGCUGUUGCUAAUAUCAGCGGCUGAUGACGGUACCUGAAGAAUAAGCACCGGCUAACUACGUGCCAGCAGCCGCGGUAAUACGUAGGGUGCGAGCGUUAAUCGGAAUUACUGGGCGUAAAGCGGGCGCAGACGGUUACUUAAGCAGGAUGUGAAAUCCCCGGGCUCAACCCGGGAACUGCGUUCUGAACUGGGUGACUCGAGUGUGUCAGAGGGAGGUAGAAUUCCACGUGUAGCAGUGAAAUGCGUAGAGAUGUGGAGGAAUACCGAUGGCGAAGGCAGCCUCCUGGGACAACACUGACGUUCAUGCCCGAAAGCGUGGGUAGCAAACAGGAUUAGAUACCCUGGUAGUCCACGCCCUAAACGAUGUCAAUUAGCUGUUGGGCAACUUGAUUGCUUAGUAGCGUAGCUAACGCGUGAAAUUGACCGCCUGGGGAGUACGGUCGCAAGAUUAAAACUCAAAGGAAUUGACGGGGACCCGCACAAGCGGUGGAUGAUGUGGAUUAAUUCGAUGCAACGCGAAGAACCUUACCUGGUCUUGACAUGUACGGAAUCCUCCAGAGACGGAGGAGUGCCUUCGGGAGCCGUAACACAGGUGCUGCAUGGCUGUCGUCAGCUCGUGUCGUGAGAUGUUGGGUUAAGUCCCGCAACGAGCGCAACCCUUGUCAUUAGUUGCCAUCAUUCAGUUGGGCACUCUAAUGAGACUGCCGGUGACAAGCCGGAGGAAGGUGGGGAUGACGUCAAGUCCUCAUGGCCCUUAUGACCAGGGCUUCACACGUCAUACAAUGGUCGGUACAGAGGGUAGCCAAGCCGCGAGGCGGAGCCAAUCUCACAAAACCGAUCGUAGUCCGGAUUGCACUCUGCAACUCGAGUGCAUGAAGUCGGAAUCGCUAGUAAUCGCAGGUCAGCAUACUGCGGUGAAUACGUUCCCGGGUCUUGUACACACCGCCCGUCACACCAUGGGAGUGGGGGAUACCAGAAGUAGGUAGGGUAACCGCAAGGAGUCCGCUUACCACGGUAUGCUUCAUGACUGGGGUGAAGUCGUAACAAGGUAGCCGUAGGGGAACCUGCGGCUGGAUCACCU